UACGUAGGGUGCAAGCGUUGUCCGGAAUUAUUGGGCGUAAAGAGCUCGUAGGUGGCGGGUCACGUCGGGUGUGAAAGCCCGGGGCUCAACCCCGGGUCUGCAUUCGAUACGGGUCUGUUAGGGUCCGGCAGGGGAGACUGGAAUUCCUGGUGUAGCGGUGAAAUGCGCAGAUAUCAGGAGGAACACCGGUGGCGAAGGCGGGUCUCUGGGCCGGUACCGACACUGAGGAGCGAAAGCAUGGGGAGCGAACAGG
RNAcentral lists this ribosomal RNA (253 nucleotides) under uncultured bacterium. RNAcentral describes it as "partial 16S ribosomal RNA". It matches the Rfam family "Bacterial small subunit ribosomal RNA", at positions 524 to 776 of the family's 1533-position model. The record is from RNAcentral.